Molecule: ribosomal RNA, 377 nt
Filed under: uncultured eukaryote
Lineage: Eukaryota
Description: partial 18S ribosomal RNA
Rfam family: Eukaryotic small subunit ribosomal RNA
Source: RNAcentral
CAAUAGCGUAUAUUAAAGUUGUUGCAGUUAAAAAGCUCGUAGUUGGAUUUCGGGGUGGCCUGCCUGGUCCACCGCAAGGUGAGUACUGGUCAGCCGCCCUUCCUCUCGAAAGCCCCGACUGCUCUUCAUUGCAGUGGUCGGGUAGUUCGGGACGUUUACUUUGAAAAAAUUAGAGUGUUCAAGGCAGGCUAUCGCCUGAAUACAUUAGCAUGGAAUAAUGGAAGAGGACCUCGGUCCUAUUUUGUUGGUUUCUAGGGCCGAAGUAAUGAUUAAGAGGGACAGUUGGGGGCAUUCGUAUUUAAUUGUCAGAGGUGAAAUUCUUGGAUUUAUGAAAGACGAACUAGUGCGAAAGCAUUUGCCAAGGAUGUAUUCAUUAA